GUGCACGCACAGACGCACUCCGACCUCGCCGUCCCCUGACUCUAGACAGGUACAGACUACUGAAGUUUGAUCGUCAGGAUUCUGGACAUUAGGUAUUGAGCAUUGUGUUUGUUCUCAUGGCGCCCAGCAAGAGGAACUAUCCAUCGGGUAGCCACAAAAG
Long non-coding RNA from Triticum aestivum (bread wheat), 160 nucleotides. RefSeq lists it as uncharacterized. The record is from RefSeq and is a predicted model, not a curated record. Lineage: Eukaryota; Viridiplantae; Streptophyta; Magnoliopsida; Poales; Poaceae. The transcript is spliced from 3 exons.